GACCGCGAACGCUCAAGGUUGCCGCACGCAGGUUUUUCCUGGUACCACAGGCCCCCUCCCUUCCCCAGGCCUCCCUGAGCGCCUCUGCGGGCCCCUCGGGCCCCACGAGGGGCGGCUGGCGGGUGGGGAGUGUGACCCAUCCUCGGUGAGAAAGCCUUCUCUAGCGAUCCAAGAGAAAUACUAGGCUUUAGAAUUUCACCAUAUGAAUUUUGGGAGAGAGGAGCACAGUUCAGCCCAUAACUAACACACGACGGAAUGAAGUUGAUAAUAGUGAGACCUUGUUGGUACAAGACUAUGUAACAUAACCUGCGCUUCUCAACAAAGAAUUGCUUUUCUGACUUCUGCACUCAAUAGCAAGACAAAUCUCUCCUCUGCCUUCUCCUUAUCAGACUACUCAACAUGAAGGCAAUAAGAAUGAAGACCUCUAUGUAUAAUAAUUGACUUCCACUUAAUAAAUAAGGUUACUUGGUACACUGGUCGACAAAACCUUGAAAUGUUGAUGUUUAAGGGCUGUUGAUUGCUGGCAGCAAAGAAGUCCAACUGUGCUGGUACCCGAGAUAGCGUCUCCACAUUUUCUUCCAGGAUCAUCACCUUUGUUCUAAAUAGCUCCCACAUAGUGUGAACAGAAGUCAUAUGUUUUAGAUUUUCUGCCUUGGCACCCAGGAAACCAGUAUGAUUGAGUAAACAUAUUAAACUUCCUCUGCAUUUCCAGCCUGAACAGAUGUUGAGUACAAGCUGAUCCACCUACGUUCAACCUGAGAGAGUCCACAUCCACAGACUGUUUCAUUUCCCUUUUUCAAUUUACAUAGAAGCAUAGAUUCUUGCUGGCAUAUACAAAUGCGCCAUUUAAGGCAAUCAAAAAUGGUUCCACAUCUCAUCUGAUUUCCACAAUUGUUGCUGUAACGAUGGACUACUGAGGAGAGAGACAAUUUCUCUGGCACAUCUUCCCACAUUUUAGCAACAUGUUCAUGGAGAGCCAAUAUUCAGUAAUUACAGCCCAAUUCCUCACAAUUUCACAAUUCGCUAACAAUAUGCAUUUUCACAAUGUAAAGCUGAUUUUCCUUUAACCAAAUCAAACAUGAAAAGAUAGCUGCAUGCAAUGGGCAAUCUAGAUCAUUAGAAGAUUGAUGUAAAAUUAGAGGACACUGAGACUGGAAUAGAUUGCAAACUUCAGGGAGCUCAGAAAACUUGUAAACUCUACAUUUUGAGGAAAUAUGUUGUCGAUGCUUUUGCAACUCUAUGCAGUAACUUAACAAAUAAAGCCUUAAAGUAACUUA
This is a long non-coding RNA of Homo sapiens (human), 1277 nucleotides long. Ensembl annotates it as MIR663A host gene. Its record names the gene MIR663AHG. Lineage: Eukaryota; Metazoa; Chordata; Mammalia; Primates; Hominidae. The record is from Ensembl.